Molecule: ribosomal RNA, 500 nt
Filed under: uncultured Myrionecta
Lineage: Eukaryota; Ciliophora; Litostomatea; Cyclotrichida; Mesodiniidae
Description: bacterial SSU rRNA
Rfam family: Eukaryotic small subunit ribosomal RNA
Source: RNAcentral
GAAAACUUACCAGGUCAAGACAUGGGCGUGAUUGACAGGCUAAUGACUUUUCUCGAUUCCAUGGAUGGUGGUGCAUGGUCGCACUUAGUUGGUGCAGUGAUUUGUCAGGUUUAUUCCGGUAACGAACGAGACCUCGGCCUUGUAAAUAGCUAUGCUGCUUACAGGGACAUUGGCGGCUACGCCAAGGAAGCUCGAGGCAAUUGCAGAUCUGGAAUGCCCUUAGAUGUCCUGGGUCGCACGCGUGCUACAAUGACGCCACGAACGAGCUUGCGUGAUGAAAGUUACGCAUAAUCAGCAGUCGGCGUCUUAAGGGAUAGUCUCUUGUAACUGUGGGACUCCAACUAGGAAUGUCUCGUAAGCACAAGUCAACAUCUUGUGUUGAUUACGUCCCUGCUCUUUGUACCACCGCCCGUCGCUCCUACCGAUCGAGUGUUUAGGUGAAUUUGAUGGACGUAAGGAAGUCAAAUAACCUGAGCUCUUAGGGAAGGGAAUUGUGACUC